RNAcentral lists this ribosomal RNA (1029 nucleotides) under Herpotrichia cf. herpotrichoides GKM 212N. RNAcentral's name for it is "eukaryotic LSU rRNA". It matches the Rfam family "Eukaryotic large subunit ribosomal RNA", at positions 46 to 1096 of the family's 3401-position model. The record is from RNAcentral. Lineage: Eukaryota; Fungi; Ascomycota; Dothideomycetes; Pleosporales; Melanommataceae.
AUAAGCGGAGGAAAAGAAACCAACAGGGAUUGCCUUAGUAACGGCGAGUGAAGCGGCAAUAGCUCAAAUUUGAAAUCUGGCUCUUUCAGGGUCCGAGUUGUAAUUUGCAGAGGGCGCUUUGGCGUCGGCAGCAGCCUAAGUUCCUUGGAACAGGUCAUCAUAGAGGGUGAGAAUCCCGUAUGUGGCUGAUUGUCUUCGCCGUGUAAAGCCCCUUCGAUGAGUCGAGUUGUUUGGGAAUGCAGCUCUAAAUGGGAGGUGAAUUUCUUCUAAAGCUAAAUAUUGGCCAGAGACCGAUAGCGCACAAGUAGAGUGAUCGAAAGAUGAAAAGCACUUUGGAAAGAGAGUCAAAAAGCACGUGAAAUUGUUGAAAGGGAAGCGCUUGCAGCCAGACGUGCCCGCAGUUGCUCAUCUGGGGUUCUCCCCAGUGCACUCUUCUGUGGGCAGGCCAGCAUCAGUUCGGGCGGUUGGAGAAAGACCUGUGUCAUGUAGCUGUUCUCGGGCAGUGUUAUAGGGCAGGUGGAAUGCAACCAGCCGGAACUGAGGUCCGCGCAUCUGCUAGGAUGCUGGCGUAAUGGCUGUAAGCGGCCCGUCUUGAAACACGGACCAAGGAGUCUAACAUCUAUGCGAGUGUUUGGGUGUCAAGCCCGAGCGCGUAAUGAAAGUGAACGGAGGUGGGAACCCUUCGGGGCGCACCAUCGACCGAUCCUGAUGUCUUCGGAUGGAUUUGAGUAAGAGCAUAGCUGUUGGGACCCGAAAGAUGGUGAACUAUGCCUGAAUAGGGUGAAGCCAGAGGAAACUCUGGUGGAGGCUCGCAGCGGUUCUGACGUGCAAAUCGAUCGUCAAAUUUGGGCAUAGGGGCGAAAGACUAAUCGAACUAUCUAGUAGCUGGUUCCUGCCGAAGUUUCCCUCAGGAUAGCAGUAACGUUUUCAGUUUUAUGAGGUAAAGCGAAUGAUUAGAGGCCUGGGGGUUGAAACAACCUUCACCUAUUCUCAAACUUUAAAUAUGUAAGAAGUCCUUGUUUCUUAAUU